GAUGAACGCUGGCGGCGUGCCUAAUACAUGCAAGUCGAGCGAACGGACGAGAAGCUUGCUUCUCUGAUGUUAGCGGCGGACGGGUGAGUAACACGUGGAUAACCUACCUAUAAGACUGGGAUAACUUCGGGAAACCGGAGCUAAUACCGGAUAAUAUUUUGAACCGCAUGGUUCAAAAGUGAAAGACGGUCUUGCUGUCACUUAUAGAUGGAUCCGCGCUGCAUUAGCUAGUUGGUAAGGUAACGGCUUACCAAGGCAACGAUGCAUAGCCGACCUGAGAGGGUGAUCGGCCUCACUGGAACUGAGACACGGUCCAGACUCCUACGGGAGGCAGCAGUAGGGAAUCUUCCGCAAUGGGCGAAAGCCUGACGGAGCAACGCCGCGUGAGUGAUGAAGGUCUUCGGAUCGUAAAACUCUGUUAUUAGGGAAGAACAUAUGUGCAAGUAACUGUGCACAUCUUGACGGUACCUAAUCAGAAAGCCACGGCUAACUACGUG
RNAcentral lists this ribosomal RNA (497 nucleotides) under uncultured bacterium. RNAcentral's name for it is "partial 16S ribosomal RNA". It matches the Rfam family "Bacterial small subunit ribosomal RNA", at positions 28 to 507 of the family's 1533-position model. The record is from RNAcentral.